Molecule: transfer RNA, 74 nt
Filed under: Pediococcus stilesii
Lineage: Bacteria; Bacillati; Bacillota; Bacilli; Lactobacillales; Lactobacillaceae
Rfam family: tRNA
About the family: Transfer RNA (tRNA) molecules are approximately 80 nucleotides in length. Their secondary structure includes four short double-helical elements and three loops (D, anti-codon, and T loops).
Source: Rfam by way of RNAcentral
CGGGAAAUAGCUCAGCUUGGUAGAGCACCACGUUCGGGACGUGGGGGUCGCUGGUUCGAAUCCGGUUUUCCCGA